GAUUGCCAGCUACCAAACGUAACCUUAGACUCAAAGUCUUCAAAAUCAAAGAUAAAAGAAAAAGGGGUCGAUUCCAAAAUCAAUCCAGAUUUGAUUCUCAAACCAUAAGGAACAAGAAAUCUAUUAAUAAAAGAUUUUGCUUCAUUUGUGACCAGGACAACUAUCUUUCUCAUCAAUGGUUCUUCCAAAAGAAGGAGAAGGUUGUGACCA
RNAcentral lists this long non-coding RNA (210 nucleotides) under Elaeis guineensis (African oil palm). RNAcentral describes it as "long non-coding RNA (EGUI_LNC007842)". The record is from RNAcentral. Lineage: Eukaryota; Viridiplantae; Streptophyta; Magnoliopsida; Arecales; Arecaceae.